GACGAACGCUGGCGGCGUGCUUAACACAUGCAAGUCGAACGGAAAGGCCCUGCUUUUGUGGGGUGCUCGAGUGGCGAACGGGUGAGUAACACGUGAGUAACCUGCCCUUGACUUUGGGAUAACUUCAGGAAACUGGGGCUAAUACCGGAUAGGAGCUCCUGCUGCAUGGUGGGGGUUGGAAAGUUUCGGCGGUUGGGGAUGGACUCGCGGCUUAUCAGCUUGUUGGUGGGGUAGUGGCUUACCAAGGCUUUGACGGGUAGCCGGCCUGAGAGGGUGACCGGCCACAAUGGGACUGAGGGACGGACCAGACUCCUACGGGAGGCAGCAGGGGGGAAUAUUGCACAAUGGGCGGAAGCCUGAUGCAGCAACGCCGCGUGCGGGAAGACGGCCUUCGGGGUGGAAACCGCUUUAGGCUGUGACGAAGCGGGAGUGACGGUAAUGGGUAAAGAAGCACCGGCUAACUACGUG
This 468-nucleotide ribosomal RNA is filed under the name uncultured bacterium. Its description in RNAcentral is "partial 16S ribosomal RNA". It matches the Rfam family "Bacterial small subunit ribosomal RNA", at positions 28 to 507 of the family's 1533-position model. The record is from RNAcentral.